UCGAACGGUAACAGGCCGCAAGGUGCUGACGAGUGGCGAACGGGUGAGUAAUGCAUCGGAACGUGCCCAGUCGUGGGGGAUAACGCAGCGAAAGCUGUGCUAAUACCGCAUACGAUCUAUGGAUGAAAGCGGGGGACCGUAAGGCCUCGCGCGAUUGGAGCGGCCGAUGUCAGAUUAGCUAGUUGGUGGGGUAAAGGCCCACCAAGGCGACGAUCUGUAGCUGGUCUGAGAGGACGACCAGCCACACUGGGACUGAGACACGGCCCAGACUCCUACGGGAGGCAGCAGUGGGGAAUUUUGGACAAUGGGCGCAAGCCUGAUCCAGCAAUGCCGCGUGCAGGAAGAAGGCCUUCGGGUUGUAAACUGCUUUUGUACGGAACGAAACGGUCCUGGUUAAUACCUGGGGCUAAUGACGGUACCGUAAGAAUAAGCACCGGCUAACUACGUGCCAGCAGCCGCGGUAAUACGUAGGGUGCAAGCGUUAAUCGGAAUUACUGGGCGUAAAGCGUGCGCAGGCGGUUUUGUAAGACAGGCGUGAAAUCCCCGGGCUCAACCUGGGAAUUGCGCUUGUGACUGCAAAGCUGGAGUGCGGCAGAGGGGGAUGGAAUUCCGCGUGUAGCAGUGAAAUGCGUAGAUAUGCGGAGGAACACCGAUGGCGAAGGCAAUCCCCUGGGCCUGCACUGACGCUCAUGCACGAAAG
RNAcentral lists this ribosomal RNA (700 nucleotides) under uncultured Hydrogenophaga sp. RNAcentral describes it as "bacterial SSU rRNA". It matches the Rfam family "Bacterial small subunit ribosomal RNA", at positions 62 to 759 of the family's 1533-position model. Lineage: Bacteria; Pseudomonadati; Pseudomonadota; Betaproteobacteria; Burkholderiales; Comamonadaceae. The record is from RNAcentral.